AAUAGAUACCCCGGUAGUCCACGCCGUAAACGAUAAGUGCUAAGUGUUAGAGGGUUUCCGCCCUUUAGUGCUGAAGUUAACGCAUUAAGCACUCCGCCUGGGGAGUACGGCCGCAAGGCUGAAACUCAAAGGAAUUGACGGGGGCCCGCACAAGCGGUGGAGCAUGUGGUUUAAUUCGAAGCAACGCGAAGAACCUUACCAGGUCUUGACAUCCUCUGACAACCCUAGAGAUAGGGCUUCUCCUUCGGGAGCAAAGUGACAGGUGGUGCAUGGUUGUCGUCAGCUCGUGUCGUGAGAUGUUGGGUUAAGUCCCGCAACGAGCGCAACCCUUGAUCUUAGUUGCCAUCAUUAAGUUGGGCACUCUAAGGUGACUGCCGGUGACAAACCGGAGGAAGGUGGGGAUGACGUCAAAUCAUCAUGCCCCUUAUGACCUGGGCUACACACGUGCUACAAUGGACGGUACAAAGAGCUGCAAGACCGCGAGGUGGAGCUAAUCUCAUAAAACCGUUCUCAGUUCGGAUUGUAGG
This 527-nucleotide ribosomal RNA is filed under the name uncultured bacterium. Its description in RNAcentral is "bacterial SSU rRNA". It matches the Rfam family "Bacterial small subunit ribosomal RNA", at positions 777 to 1304 of the family's 1533-position model. The record is from RNAcentral.